AUUGAACGCUGGCGGCAUGCCUUACACAUGCAAGUCGAACGGCAGCACGGGUGCUUGCACCUGGUGGCGAGUGGCGAACGGGUGAGUAAUACAUCGGAACGUACCUUAUCGUGGGGGAUAACGCAGCGAAAGCUGUGCUAAUACCGCAUACGCCCUGAGGGGGAAAGCGGGGGAUCGCAAGACCUCGCGCGAUUAGAGCGGCCGAUGCCUGAUUAGCUUGUUGGUGGGGGAAAAGCCCACCAAGGCGACGAUCAGUAGCUGGUCUGAGAGGACGAUCAGCCACACUGGGACUGAGACACGACCCAGACUCCUACGGGAGGCAGCAGUGGGGAAUUUUGGACAAUGGGGGCAACCCUGAUCCAGCAAUGCCGCGUGAGUGAAGAAGGCCUUCGGGUUGUAAAGCUCUUUUGUCAGGGAAGAAACACCGGCUCUAACACAGUCCGGGAAUGACGGUACCUGAAGAAUAAGCACCGGCUAACUACGUGCCAGCCGCCGCGGUAA
Molecule: ribosomal RNA, 501 nt
Filed under: uncultured bacterium
Lineage: Bacteria
Description: partial 16S ribosomal RNA
Rfam family: Bacterial small subunit ribosomal RNA
Source: RNAcentral